This 439-nucleotide ribosomal RNA is filed under the name uncultured bacterium. RNAcentral's name for it is "partial 16S ribosomal RNA". It matches the Rfam family "Bacterial small subunit ribosomal RNA", at positions 339 to 795 of the family's 1533-position model. The record is from RNAcentral.
CUACGGGGGGCUGCAGUGAGGAAUAUUGCACAAUGGGGGGAACCCUGAUGCAGCAACGCCGCGUGGAGGAUGACGCAUUUCGGUGUGUAAACUCCUUUUAUAUGUCAAGAAAAUGACAGUAGCAUAUGAAUAAGCACCGGCUAACUCCGUGCCAGCAGCCGCGGUAAUACGGAGGGUGCAAGCGUUACUCGGAAUCACUGGGCGUAAAGGACGCGUAGGCGGGUUGGAAAGUCAGGUGUGAAAUCCUACAGCCUAACUGUAGAACUGCAAUUGAAACUUCUAAUCUAGAGUAUGGGAGGGGGAGAUGGAAUUAGUGGUGUAGGGGUAAAAUCCGUAGAUAUCACUAGGAAUACCUAAAGCGAAGGCGAUCUCCUGGAACAUUACUGACGCUAAGGCGUGAAAGCGCGGGGAGCAAACAGGAUUAGAUACCCCUGUAGUC